AGUAGCGGUGAAAUGCGUAGAUAUCUGGAGGAAUACCAAAGGCGAAGGCAGUCCCCUGGUCCGAUACUGACACUGAGGUACGAAAGCGUGGGGAGCAAACAGGAUUAGAUACCCUGGUAGUCCACGCCCUAAACGAUGUCGAUUAGCCAUUGGAAGGACCCCUUUUCCUUUCAGUGACGUAGCUAACGCGUUAAAUCGACCGCCUGGGAAGUACGACCGCAAGGGUUAAAACUCAAAGGAAUUGACGGGGACCUGAACAAGCGGUGAAUGAUGUGGAUUAAUUCGAUGCUACGCGAAGAACCUUUACCUACCUUUGACAUGGCCAAAGUUCUACCGAGAGGCGGAAGUACUCGUAAGAGGAUUGGCGCACAGGUGCUGCAUGGUUGUCGUCAGUUCGUGUCGUGAGAUGUUGGGUUCAGUCCCGCAACGAACGCAACCCUUAUCUUUAAUUGCUCCUAUUUUAACAGGCACUUUAAAGAAACUGCCAAUGAUAAGUUGGAGGAAGGUGGGGAUCACGUCAAGUCCGCAUGGCCUUUAUAGGUAGGGCUUCACACGUCAUACAAUGGUUAGAACAAAGAGCUGCAAAUUCGUAAGAAGGAGCCAAUCUCACAAACCUAACCUCAGUUCGAAUUGCGGUCUGCAACUCGAGCGCAUGAAGCCGGAAUCGCUAGUAAUCGUGGAUCAGAAUGCCA
This 692-nucleotide ribosomal RNA is filed under the name uncultured Candidatus Tremblayella sp. RNAcentral describes it as "bacterial SSU rRNA". It matches the Rfam family "Bacterial small subunit ribosomal RNA", at positions 674 to 1359 of the family's 1533-position model. The record is from RNAcentral. Lineage: Bacteria; Pseudomonadati; Pseudomonadota; Betaproteobacteria.